UACAGAGGUCUCGAGCGUUAGGCGGAAUCACUGGGCUUACAGCGUGUGUAGGCGGAUCGGUAAGUACCUUGUGAAAUCCCACAGCUUAACUGUGGAACUGCUCGGUAUACUGCCAGUCUUGAGCCAGCUAGGGGCUACCGGAACAAAUGGUGGAGCGGUGAAAUGCGUAGAUAUCAUUUGGAACGCCAAUGGUGAAAACAGGUAGCUGGGGCUGUGCUGACGCUGAGACACGAAAGCCAGGGGAGCAAACGGG
This 253-nucleotide ribosomal RNA is filed under the name uncultured bacterium. Its description in RNAcentral is "partial 16S ribosomal RNA". It matches the Rfam family "Bacterial small subunit ribosomal RNA", at positions 524 to 776 of the family's 1533-position model. The record is from RNAcentral.